CAAAUGAAUUAAUGCAUAAAAUCAAAUCAAAACAAAUAUGUCGUUUUAGCAAUUAAAAAAUUAUACACUAAUGUUUCACAUUAUCGUUAGAUAUACAGUACCUUCCAAAAGUAUUCACCCCUGCCAAUAAUGUCACAUUUUGAUGAAAUACAAAGAACAUAAAAAAAAUUAAUGAACUUGUUUUGAUUCAAAACUCUAAUGACCAAACUUAACACUGUUAUAUGUGAAUGAGCUUGAAUGUCAGCGAAACCCGCAAAUAAUAUAUAUAUAUGUAUUGAAAUUUGCUGAUGAUUGCAUAAAUAUUCUGUC
This is a long non-coding RNA of Limulus polyphemus (Atlantic horseshoe crab), 309 nucleotides long. RefSeq lists it as uncharacterized. The record is from RefSeq and is a predicted model, not a curated record. NCBI's taxonomy places the organism in Eukaryota, Metazoa, Arthropoda, Merostomata, Xiphosura, Limulidae. The transcript is spliced from 3 exons.